CCUACGGGAGGCAGCAGUGAGGAAUAUUGGUCAAUGGACGAGAGUCUGAACCAGCCAAGUAGCGUGAAGGAUGACUGCCCUAUGGGUUGUAAACUUCUUUUAUAUGGGAAUAAAACGUUCCACGUGUGGGAUUUUGUAUGUACCAUAUGAAUAAGGAUCGGCUAACUACGUUCCAGCAGCCGCGGUAAUACGGAGGAUCCGAGCGUUAUCCGGAUUUAUUGGGUUUAAAGGGAGCGUAGGUGGAUUGUUAAGUCAGUUGUGAAAGUUUGCGGCUCAACCGUAAAAUUGCAGUUGAAACUGGCAGUCUUGAGUACAGUAGAGGUGGGCGGAAUUCGUGGUGUAGCGGUGAAAUGCUUAGAUAUCACGAAGAACUCCGAUUGCGAAGGCAGUUCACUGGACUGCAACUGACACUGAGGCUCGAAAGUGUGGGUAUCAAACAGGAUUAGAUACCCGAGUAGUC
Molecule: ribosomal RNA, 460 nt
Filed under: uncultured bacterium
Lineage: Bacteria
Description: partial 16S ribosomal RNA
Rfam family: Bacterial small subunit ribosomal RNA
Source: RNAcentral